AGUGAACGCUGGCGGUAGGCCUAACACAUGCAAGUCGAACGGCAGCACAGUAAGAGCUUGCUCUUACGGGUGGCGAGUGGCGGACGGGUGAGGAAUACAUCGGAAUCUACUUUUUCGUGGGGGAUAACGUAGGGAAACUUACGCUAAUACCGCAUACGACCUACGGGUGAAAGCAGGGGAUCUUCGGACCUUGCGCGAUUGAAUGAGCCGAUGUCGGAUUAGCUAGUUGGCGGGGUAAAGGCACACCAAGGCGACGAUCCGUAGCUGGUCUGAGAGGAUGGUCAGCCACACGGGAAGUGAGACACGGUCCAGACUCAUACGGGAGGCAGCAGUGGGGAAUAUGGGACAAGGGGAGAAAGCGUGAUCCAGCCAUACCGCGUGGGUGAAGAAGGCCUUCGUGUUGUAAAGCCCUUUUGUUGGGAAAGAAAAGCAGCAGGUGAAUACCCCGCUGUUCUGACGGUACCCAAAGAAUAAGCACCGGCUAACUUCGU
This 491-nucleotide ribosomal RNA is filed under the name uncultured bacterium. Its description in RNAcentral is "partial 16S ribosomal RNA". It matches the Rfam family "Bacterial small subunit ribosomal RNA", at positions 29 to 506 of the family's 1533-position model. The record is from RNAcentral.